This 529-nucleotide ribosomal RNA is filed under the name uncultured archaeon. RNAcentral's name for it is "bacterial SSU rRNA". It matches the Rfam family "Archaeal small subunit ribosomal RNA", at positions 469 to 997 of the family's 1478-position model. The record is from RNAcentral.
GGGAACACCGGCGGCUCUAGUGGUAGCAAUUUUUAUUGGGACCUAAAGCGUCCGUAGCCGGUUUAAUAAGUCUCUGGUGAAAUCCUGCAGCUUAACUGUGGGAAUUGCUGGAGAUACUAUUAGACUUGAGACCGGGAGAGGUUAGAGGUACUCCCAGGGUAGAGGUGAAAUUCUGUAAUCCUGGGAGGACCGCCUGUUGCGAAGGCGUCUAACUGGAACGGUUCUGACGGUGAGGGACGAAAGUUAGGGGCGCGAACCGGAUUAGAUACCCGGGUAGUCCUAACUGUAAACGAUGCGGACUUGGUGUUGGGUGGCUUUGAGCUGCUUCAGUGCCGAAGGGAAGCUGUUAAGUCCGCCGCCUGGGAAGUACGGUCGCAAGACUGAAACUUAAGGAAUUGGCGGGGGAGCACCACAACGCGUGGAGCCUGCCGGUUUAAUUGGAUUCAACGCCGGACAUCUCACCAGAGGCGACAGCUGUAUGAUAGCCAGGUUGAUGACUUUGCUUGACUAGCUGAGUGGAGGUGCAUGG